This 769-nucleotide ribosomal RNA is filed under the name Phytophthora vignae. RNAcentral's name for it is "partial 28S ribosomal RNA". It matches the Rfam family "Eukaryotic large subunit ribosomal RNA", at positions 53 to 649 of the family's 3401-position model. The record is from RNAcentral. Lineage: Eukaryota; Oomycota; Peronosporomycetes; Peronosporales; Peronosporaceae.
GAGGAAAAGAAACUAACAAGGAUUCCCCUAGUAACGGCGAGUGAAGCGGGAAGAGCUCAAGCUUAAAAUCUCCGUGCAAGUUUUGCGCGGCGAAUUGUAGUCUAUAGAGGCGUGGUCAGCGUGGGCGCUUGGGGCAAGUUCCUUGGAAGAGGACAGCAUGGAGGGUGAUACUCCCGUUCAUCCCUGAGUGGCUCGUGCGUACGACCCGUGUUCUUUGAGUCGCGUUGUUUGGGAAUGCAGCGCAAAGUAGGUGGUAAAUUCCAUCUAAAGCUAAAUAUUGGUGCGAGACCGAUAGCGAACAAGUACCGUGAGGGAAAGAUGAAAAGAACUUUGAAAAGAGAGUUAAAGAGUACCUGAAACUGCUGAAAGGGAACCGAAUCGUUUCCAGUGUCUAUAAUCCGUGGCAUAUUUCAUUGGCGAGUGUGCGCGUGCGUGUGCUGUGGCAGUGGCUUUUUUGGCUGCGCUCGGUGUGUGUGCUGUGUGUGCUUGCUGGUGCCCUGUGCUGCGGUGGGACGUCAAGGUCAGUUCGUAUGCUGCGGGAAAUGGCUGCCGAGGAGGUAGGGCUUACGCUCCGCGUUUGUCUGUUAUAUCUUGGUGGACGAGUCGUCGCGGUUGGGACUGAGGUGCCUACAACGUGCUUUUGAGUGGGUUUGUGUCUCCGUGUGCGCCGUGUGCGGAUAGCUUGCUAUGCGUGUGUGGUUGUGUGUGGAUUGAUGCGGGCUUUAACUUGUCGCCGUUCGGGACGUUGACGAAAUGGAGCGAUCCGACC